CAAUAGCGUAUACUAAAGUUGUUGCAGUUAAAAAGCUCGUAGUCGAAUAUAGGUUGUUUGGAUGCGCGAGCACUCUUGUUUAACUUGAGAUGCUUGCGCCCAUUAGCCGCCCUUGUGGGGCUCGAUGUUCUGAUUAUCAAGAAUACUCAAUCGAUCCCACACAUUACUGUGAACAAAAUAGAGUGUUCAUGGCAGGCCAUUAGGGCUUGAAUACCGCAGCAUGGAAUAAUAGAAUAGGACUUCCGGUUCUAUUUUAUUGGUUUUUGGAGCCGAAGUAAUGAUUAAUAGGGAUAGUUGGGGGCACUCGUACUCCGUUGUCAGAGGUGAAAUUCUUGGAUUGACGGAAGACGAACAACUGCGAAAGCAUCUGCCAAGGAUGUUUUCAUUG
This 388-nucleotide ribosomal RNA is filed under the name uncultured eukaryote. RNAcentral's name for it is "partial 18S ribosomal RNA". It matches the Rfam family "Eukaryotic small subunit ribosomal RNA", at positions 592 to 975 of the family's 1831-position model. The record is from RNAcentral.